UACGUAGGGGGCAAGCGUUAUCCGGAUUUACUGGGUGUAAAGGGAGCGUAGACGGCUUGGCAAGCCAGAUGUGAAAGGCUGGGGCUCAACCCCAGGACUGCAUUUGGAACUGUCAUGCUAGAGUGUCGGAGAGGCAGGCGGAAUUCCUAGUGUAGCGGUGAAAUGCGUAGAUGUUAGGAGGAACACCAGUGGCGAAGGCGGCCUGCUGGACGAUGACUGACGUUGAGGCUCGAAAGCGUGGGGAGCAAACAGG
This 253-nucleotide ribosomal RNA is filed under the name uncultured bacterium. RNAcentral describes it as "partial 16S ribosomal RNA". It matches the Rfam family "Bacterial small subunit ribosomal RNA", at positions 524 to 776 of the family's 1533-position model. The record is from RNAcentral.